GUGGGGAAUUUUGGACAAUGGGGGCAACCCUGAUCCAGCCAUGCCGCGUGCGGGAAGAAGGCCUUCGGGUUGUAAACCGCUUUUGUCAGGGAAGAAAUCCUUUGGGUUAAUACCUCGGAGGGAUGACGGUACCUGAAGAAUAAGCACCGGCUAACUACGUGCCAGCAGCCGCGGUAAUACGUAGGGUGCGAGCGUUAAUCGGAAUUACUGGGCGUAAAGCGUGCGCAGGCGGUUUUGUAAGAUCGAUGUGAAAUCCACGGGCUCAACCUGGGAACUGCAUUGGUGACUGCAAGGAUGGAGGGCGGCAGAGGGGGAUGGAAUUCCGCGUGUAGCAGUGAAAUGCGUAGAUAUGCGGAGGAACACCGAUGGCGAAGGCAAUCCCCUGGGCCUGCACUGACGCUCAUGCACGAAAGCGUGGGGAGCAAACAGGAUUAGAUACCCGAGUAGUCC
RNAcentral lists this ribosomal RNA (450 nucleotides) under uncultured bacterium. Its description in RNAcentral is "partial 16S ribosomal RNA". It matches the Rfam family "Bacterial small subunit ribosomal RNA", at positions 354 to 796 of the family's 1533-position model. The record is from RNAcentral.